This 29-nucleotide non-coding RNA is filed under the name Rattus norvegicus (Norway rat). The record is from RNAcentral. Lineage: Eukaryota; Metazoa; Chordata; Mammalia; Rodentia; Muridae.
UGACUUCUCAGAACCCAUGCAUACUUCUU